RNAcentral lists this long non-coding RNA (294 nucleotides) under Homo sapiens (human). RNAcentral describes it as "non-protein coding FGF14-AS1:2". Lineage: Eukaryota; Metazoa; Chordata; Mammalia; Primates; Hominidae. The record is from RNAcentral.
CAUGAACCCCAAGAGGCAAGGAUGACAGGAGCCAUCUUGAAGGCUGGCGACCACAGAUCCACACCUAACUCCAAACCACCAAAUUACUCGGAGUGUGUGUCGGCCUGCCCACGGUGCGGUGAGCCCAUGUGACUAGACCCCGGACGAUGGACUAAGAGGGAAGAGGACGUGCCUAAGUUCCGGGCUGAGGCCUUAAGAACCCAUGCACUCUUCUCCUGUUACUUUUCCCUGCGGCAACAAGCAAGGAGUCCUCAUUCCAGGGAGUGUGACCGCAUCGUGGUGCUAAUUCCCUUC